Long non-coding RNA from Drosophila pseudoobscura, 1180 nucleotides. RefSeq lists it as uncharacterized. The transcript is spliced from 3 exons. Lineage: Eukaryota; Metazoa; Arthropoda; Insecta; Diptera; Drosophilidae. The record is from RefSeq and is a predicted model, not a curated record.
GAUCAUUUCUAUAUUAAUUGCGUUUUUAAACAGCUUGGAAAAACAGUUUCUUCAUAUAUAUUGACGAAAUAGGGUAUACCUGUGUCCAAGCUCCGGUUGGCGUGACAUUUCAUACUCCCUUACGUUACAUUCCAUAUUCACUUACGUUGCCACUGUUUUUUUGUUGAUCUUUUUUGCUUAAACCUUGUUAUCUACACUAUACAAUAAAAGAGAGUACUUAAAACUAGUCAAUCGGGUAGAAAAUUGAUUCAUUAAUCGGAUAAAAUUAUGUGGGCAGACCUAAAUGUUUUAGUUAGGCAGCAUUAUUCAACGGAAUAAAGAAAUUGAGCAAUUGGAACGGUACUCGUUUGUUUAUGCUACUGUUGUAUGAGUAAAAGUGCCUUGUGCGUCUGCCUACAGUGGCUUCAAAUGACAUUAAAGUUGAGCCACAGAGUCUGCAGUUGCAAAGCCAAAAAGACCGGCGGCGCCCUUUGCCGCAGUUGGGGCCCACUACUCCGCCCUGCCUCAGCCCCCAGACCACCCCGGAGGGUCUCCACACGGACUGUUCAUCAACAAGUAAGUGGCACAAGAGCAAAUCGGGCAAAACAUUUUAAACCAUUAAUGCGACCACAGAGCAGACCAUCGCUGAAACUGGCCUUGAAACUGGGACCCAUACUGGCUACCGGCAACACCAUCGUUUUAAAGCCAGCCUAAAUCAGUCAAUGUUUUGCCAGGUUUCGGUGGAGCCGGCGCUAACCUGGCCAAUCUCGCCAAUGUCGCCAAGGACGUGCCCUUCAUCCCCCCCAGCUACGACAGACUGCCCGAAUGUGCCGCUGCCGGUGCCCGGCAAGAAUAUUCGUGCCCAGGUGAAGCCGUCUCUCAUAUUCAGCUGCCUUAGCUUCGCAACCCGUGCAUGCCAUGAAAGCGAGGCGUGUGGAGCUGGAAGGAGUCACGGCGCUGGCCGUUGACCAACAGUCCGAAGAAGUUAUAGACAUCAAUGGAAAGAACAAAAAACCCCUUGCUUCCAUGCAUUCCAUGCAUACCUCUUCUCUAAAACUUAAAGCGCGCCAUUCCUAAGGCGACACCUCGUACUUCCAUUGAUUGGUAAUAGACUAGCUGCUGGAGUCCAGCGAAAUGCGGCCCUGAUAGAGGCCGAUGCUUCUCUAUAGUAAAGCUACCAAUUAUUUUGCUCAAGAAAUAA